Molecule: ribosomal RNA, 563 nt
Filed under: uncultured bacterium
Lineage: Bacteria
Description: bacterial SSU rRNA
Rfam family: Bacterial small subunit ribosomal RNA
Source: RNAcentral
CCUACGGGAGGCAGCAGUAAGGGAUAUUGCACAAUGGGCGGAAGCCUGAUGCAGCGACGCCGCGUGGGCGAAGAAGGUUUUCGGAUCGUAAAGUCCUUUUCUAGGUGACGAGGUAGGACGGUAGCCUAGGAAUAAGUGUCGGCUAACUACGUGCCAGCAGCCGCGGUAAAACGUAGGACGCGAGCGUUAUCCGGAGUUACUGGGCGUAAAGCGCGCGCAGGCGGUGUCAUAAGUUACCCAUGAAAGGUACUGGCUAAACUGGUGUAAGUUGGGUGAAACUGUGGUACUAGAGAGGAAUAGAGGGAAGCGGAAUUCCGGGUGUAGUGGUGAAAUGCGUAGAUAUCCGGAGGAAUACCGGUGGCGAAGGCGGCUUCCUGGAUUUCAACUGACGCUGAGGCGCGAAAGCGUGGGUAGCGAACGGGAUUAGAAACCCCGGUAGUCCACGCCGUAAACGAUGCACAUUAGAUGUUCGGUCAUGUUAAGUGAUUGAGUGUUGCAGCAAACGCGAUAAAUGUGCCGCCUGGGGAGUACGGUCGCAAGGCUAAACUCAAAGGAAUUGACGG